GGGGAGUGUUCCUUCUCCUCCAACCACCCUCGCGCUCACACGUUUCUACCCGCACAGUUUCCAUGGCGCCGGCUUCCUACUUUUCCUCCGUCCCCAGCCUGUUCUGUCAUGUGGGAUUUACUAGAAGAGCAGGGGUGGUGUUCUAAAAGAAGUUAAAAUCCUAGAGGGAAGAAGGCCGGGAAGUCUAUACUACUUGUUACUGCCAUUACAAAGAAGCUCUGGGUGUCGUAAAAAUAAGACUUUAAAGUCCAAGGUUGAAACAUCAGCCAAGCCAAAUGUCAUAGAAAUAUGUCUUAGAGCAGCUGAAUUCUCAGUAUGCUGUUCGUAUCCUGUCUAUGUUUGAUCUGUUGAAGUGAGUAUAAAUGAAAAUCUAAACCUGGUCUUCAGUGUAUUUGCUGCCUAGUUUCAGUCACUUACUAUCAAGUGGUUCCUUCCGUGCACUAGGGCCUGAGGAAAACUCAUAGCCAUUCUAGACAUCUUAAGGAUCAAAACUAAUUUUUAUUCCAAAGAAAAAGCAUUUGUAGACCCUGUUGCAAGGCAUUCUCUUCAAACUACAUAUGAAAAAAAAAAACUGGGAGAAGAGAAUUAAAUUAUCUUAGAGAAGCCCAAGUUGCAGAAUGAAAUUAAACCCAAUUUCUUUAUAUAAAUUACAUGGGUAAAGUACAUUUAACCCUAAGAAGGGAAUAAUGGAGAGAGGAAGUGUGUUGAGGAAAAGAGACAACAGGAGUGAAAAACAGAAGUUACCAAUAGUGUACAGUAAUUGCCAAUUUAACUCAACAUGGAGUCACGGACACUGGCGUUGAUUCGUCUGCGUGUACACGUGUGCACUUCUGUUAAUGGGAAGGGGGCGCUCACCACUAACCUCUUUAUUGCCUUCAGGAUGAAUUGAGAGGUAGAAAGCUUCUGACAACAGGAUGUCUGCCUAUUUGAUCUGCUUUCCAUCAGUCUAGGAACUGAUGCUUCGUUUCGAGGGUUUCUCCAUUUCUCCGUGUAACAGCCCUUGGCUGUCCUGGACUAUGACUCUCAGAGAUCUGACUACCUCUGCCUCCUGGGUGCUGGGAUCAAAGGCAUGCACCCCCACGCUCUGCCUCUAAGACGUUUUCGAUGGUUCCAUUAUCAGCAUCAAUCUAUACAGAGAUCAUGUCUUACACGAUUAUUUCUUCACAGGAUGGCUGGCCUCAUCCAUUUAAGAUGGAUUCUUGUUAGUUUCCAUUCAUCCAAUUUUAUUAUUAUUAUCAUUAUCAUUAUUAUUAUUGCCUCCUGUACUGGUUAGUUUUUGUUAACUAAUGGUGCUCCUGCUGUAUGUGUUUGUUUCCUCACCCUCAAUAAAGGCUGCUGAUCCUGUCUGC
Long non-coding RNA from Rattus rattus (black rat), 1349 nucleotides. RefSeq lists it as uncharacterized. The record is from RefSeq and is a predicted model, not a curated record. The transcript has 2 exons. NCBI's taxonomy places the organism in Eukaryota, Metazoa, Chordata, Mammalia, Rodentia, Muridae.